Long non-coding RNA from Xenopus tropicalis (tropical clawed frog), 403 nucleotides. RefSeq lists it as uncharacterized. The transcript has 3 exons. NCBI's taxonomy places the organism in Eukaryota, Metazoa, Chordata, Amphibia, Anura, Pipidae. The record is from RefSeq and is a predicted model, not a curated record.
ACAGAAUGAAAGCUUUAUGAGAAAGCAGAGGAACGGUUGAAGACUUAUGCAAGUGGUGCACCACCUGGAUCUGCUGCUAAGCAGAAGAUAAAGCACCAAGGCAAACUUCUUCCUCCCUCCAUUGUGCAACUCUUCCUUUUAUGAUAGAAAACUGGUGUCUGCAUCAUCUGGACAUCAAGCAGGAGUGCUAACUGGGCCACAAAGAAAGACACAAAUAAAUAAAUCUCCUAGGGUCUAAAUAUUUGUAAUGUGACAGAUUAAGUAGAAUAAUUGAGUUCUGUAAUUUCACCAAAAACCAUCAAACAGCAUAAACAGAAACUAAGAUCCAUAGAAAUUCCUGUUUCAUUGUUGUUUUGUUGUAGAUUUGAGCCAAUUUACUAAAGGUCAAGCUUCUUCAAGUAAA